UGAGUACGAGACGCUAAGGCGUUGAAGCAGUGUAUGUCAGACUUCCAAGAAAAGCUCGCAAUGUCAUAAACAAGAAAUGCCUGUACCAUAACCGACACAGGUGGGUAGGUAGAGUAUACUAAGGGGCGCGAGAUAACUCUCUCUAAGGAACUCGGCAAAAUGACUCCGUAACUUCGGGAGAAGGAGUGCCUUAUUUUUAUAAGGUUGCAAUAACAAGAUCCAAGCAACUGUUUACCAAAAACACAGGUCUCCGCUAAGUCGUAAGACGAUGUAUGGGGGCUGACGCCUGCCCAGUGCCAGAAGGUUAAAGAAGUUGGUUAGUUUCGGCGAAGCUGAUGACUGAAGCCCUGGUGAACGGCGGCCGUAACGAUAACGGUCCUAAGGUAGCGAAAUUCCUUGUCGGGUAAGUUCCGACCCGCACGAAAGGCGUAAUGAUUUGGAUACUGUCUCGGAGGGGGGCUCGGUGAAAUAGACUUGUCUGUGAAGAUGCGGACUACCUGCACCUGGACAGAAAGACCCUAUGAAGCUUUACUGUAACUUGAGAUUGAAAUUGGACUUUAUUUGCGCAGUAUAGGUGGGAGACGUUGAGAAUAUUCUUGCGGGAAUAUUGGAGUCAUCAGUGAGAUACCACUCUUGUAAUGUUAGAUUUCUAACUUUGUAUCAUUAUCUGGUCAAAGGACAGUUUCAGGCGGGCAGUUUGACUGGGGCGGUCGCCUCCCAAACGGUAACGGAGGCGCACAAAGGUUUCCUCUGAACGUGUAGAAAUCGUAUCUAGAGUGUAAAGGCAUAAGGAAGCUUGACUGUGAGACCUACAAGUCGAGCAGGGACGAAAGACGGUCUUAGUGAUCUGACGGUGCUGAGUGGAAAGGCCGUCACUCAACGGAUAAAAGUUACUCUAGGAUAACAGGCUGAUCUCCCCCAAGAGUUCACAUCGACGGGGAGGUUUGGCACCUCGAUGUCGGCUCAUCGCAUCCUGGGGCGGUAGUACGUCCCAAGGGUUGGGCUGUUCGCCCAUGAAAGCGGUACGCGAGCUGGGUUCAGAACGUCGUGAGACAGUUCGGUCCAUAUCCGGUGUAGGCGUUAGAAUAUUGAGAGGAGCCUUCUUUAGUACGAGAGGACCGAGAAGGACAUACCUCUGGUGUACCAGUUAUCGUGCCAACGGUAAACGCUGGGUAGCUAUGUAUGGAGUGGAUAACCGCUGAAAGCAUCUAAGUGGGAAGCCCACCUCAAGAUAAG
Molecule: ribosomal RNA, 1236 nt
Filed under: metagenome
Description: bacterial LSU rRNA
Rfam family: Bacterial large subunit ribosomal RNA
Source: RNAcentral